Haliotis rubra (blacklip abalone) is the source of this 866-nucleotide long non-coding RNA. RefSeq lists it as uncharacterized. Lineage: Eukaryota; Metazoa; Mollusca; Gastropoda; Lepetellida; Haliotidae. The record is from RefSeq and is a predicted model, not a curated record. The transcript is spliced from 2 exons.
UAUUCGGCAAUUAAGGAUUGUUUCAUUCUCUAUUUGGAUUGAACUUCUAGUUUGUAGAUAUAUAUUCAAAUACAUAAAAAAUCAUUCUGGAAGUAAAUGUCAGUUAAAUACAUAAAGUGUGUUCAACAUCAUAGCCACCCCGUGCUGAGUUACGACUGGAAUAUUGCUGAAGAAGAUAACAACAUAUUCAGUCAGGUGACGCCGACAGCUGUCUCUAUUCACUGCCGCGUCCUUGUACACUGAAUGACGCCCACUGAAUGCACGACUGCUGAAGUGUGGCGACAGCGUUAUUCAACUCAGGUGUACACAACUGGGCAUUAGCUGGUCGCUAUCAAGGCUGACGCAACAGACAGCAACAACUUUGACAGGGGCCCCAAGUUAUACUCCAUGUUUUCAGAUAGAUGACAUUCACCCAGUUUGACUGAUAGUUGUAUUUAAUUGAAAGGUUUAUGACGUGUUAUGGGUGCGACACAAUCACUCAGCCUGUCGACAUUGGCAGCUACGUGGGGAAGAACUACACUUCAAAGGCAGGUCAUAUUACGUGACGCACCAUGUGGUGCACUUAAUGUUUUCUCCGUCUGUUGGAGUUGAACAACAUGUCUGUGUGACGAUCAAAUCAUCAUCACAUUGAUGCAGCAUCCGACAUAGACGUUACAAGAGGAGGAACGUCCUUGCUGGGCAGCGGGUGCAUCAACAGUCGCGUUCAGAGUGUCAAAUACCUGCUCGCUGACAACAAAGAGAUAAAUCACAAUGUGUCGGCGGAGGAGACAGUCCAGAAGAGACGCAGGAUGAUGGUAUUUGUCUCCUAGAAACGGGUGGAACGGGUCGAAUAUCUGUAUAACAAAACAGUCCCCCGAUUAUCUGUA